CGCGGAAUUUGCGCAAUGGGGGAAACCUGACGCAGCAACGCCGCGUGGAGGAUGAAAUAUCUUGGUAUGUAAACUCCUUUCGAUGGGGAAGAUAAUGACGGUACCCAUAGAAGAAGCCCCGGCUAACUUCGUG
Molecule: ribosomal RNA, 133 nt
Filed under: uncultured bacterium
Lineage: Bacteria
Description: partial 16S ribosomal RNA
Rfam family: Bacterial small subunit ribosomal RNA
Source: RNAcentral